AUGCUCCUCCUCACAAGGCUGGCCAAACCCGGAUGCUGCUCGCCGACGACCUCCCCGCGUGUCGCCCAUGCCGCUCUCGGCUGGAGCCGGUUCUUCCACACCGGCGACGGGGACGCGCACAAUGUGUUCGGUGCGAUGCCUACACCGGACCACAGGCAGUGCAGUGCGCUGCUCAGGGCGCGCACCGCGAGCGGGGAUCACUACGGGUCCGUCUGCCUCGUCCGCGGGAUGCUUGGGCGGGGCCUCCGGCCCGACAGGCUCGCGGUCGCCGCGGCGAUCAAGUCGGCGUCGGCGCUCCCCGACGGCGGCGCCCUGGGGAGGUGCCUCCACGGGUUUGUUGUCAGGCUCGGGAACGCUGCUGGCGUGGCGGUGGCGAAGGCAAUCAUGGACAUGUACGGGAGGCGUGGGGCUCUCACGGACGCCCGCCUAGUGUUUGAUGAAAUGGGCUGCCGUGACGCGGUAUGUUGGAACAUCCUGAUCACUGGGUCCUCCCGGGCUGGGUUUUUUGACGACGUAUUUGCCUUGUUCCGGUUGAUGCUUGCGUGUGGUGUAGAUGAGAGCAUGCCGACUGCGGUGACGGUGGCUGUCGUCAUUCCGGUAUGUGCAAAGCUGAGAGAUUUAACGGCUGGGAGGAGUGUCCAUGGCUAUGUCGUCAAGACUGGGUUGGAAUCUGAUACUUUGUGUGGGAAUGCAUUGGUGUCCAUGUAUGCAAAAUGUGGUGCAGGUGGAAUCACGGAUGAUGUGCAUAGAGCCUUUUCCUCAAUUCAUUGCAAGGAUGUUGUUUCAUGGAAUUCGAUCAUCGCAGGAUACUCCGAGAAUGGGUUGUUCGAAGAAGCACUCGUACUAUUUGGUCAGAUGAUCUCAGAGGAAUGUCUUCCGAAUUAUUCAACCGUAGCUAAUAUUCUUCCUGUAUGCUCGUUCAUGGAGUAUGGGAGGAACUAUGGCAAAGAAGUGCAUGCUUUCGUGUUCCGGUUUGGCUUAUAUAUGGACAUAUCUGUUUGUAAUGCGCUGAUGACUCAUUAUUCCAAGGUGUGUGAAAUGAGGGUUGUGGAAUCAAUAUUCAGAAGUAUGAAUUCAAGAGAUAUUGUUACGUGGAACACAAUAAUUGCUGGAUAUGUGAUAAACGGGUGCCACUCUAGGGUGUUAGGCCUGUUCCGUAGGCUUCUGUCGACAGGAAUGACCCCUGAUUCUGUUUCUUUCAUUAGUCUGCUCACUGUUUGUGCUCAAGUAGGAGAUGUGAAAGGAGGGAUGGCAGUUCAUGGUUAUAUUUAUCGGCAUCCAGUACUUCGUCAGGAAACAUCCUUAAUGAAUGCUCUUAUUAGUUUCUAUAACCAGUGUGGCAGAUUUGAUGAUGCUCUUCAUUCUUUCGCUGAUAUUUUGGACAAGGAUUCAGUAUCAUGGAAUGCAAUUCUAUCGGGCUGUGCUAACAGAAAAGAAUAUAUUGGGGAGUUCACCAAACUCUUCUGUGAAAUGUGCCGUAAGGUAAGUCGUUGUGACCCAGUCACAAUCUUAAAUUUUAUCCGCAUGAGUACCUUCUGUGGUGCUAAGAGGGUUCGGGAAGCUCAUGGAUAUUCCUUGCGAGUUGGUUAUAUUGGGGAAAUGUCAGUUGCAAAUGCUAUUCUCGAUGCAUAUGCAAAGUGUGGUCACCCGCAGGAUGCAGAUGUACUUUUCAGAAACCUAGCCGGUCAGAACAUUGUAACAGGCAAUACUAUGAUCUCUUGCUACCUGAAAAAUAACAGUGUAGAGCAAGCUGAGAAAAUCUUCAACCAAAUGUCUGAGAAAGAUAGGACGACAUGGAAUCUCAUGAUCCAGUUGUAUGCACGUAAUAAUAUGUGUGAUCAAGCUUUCAGUCUGUUUCAUCAGUUGCAGUGUCCCGAUACUGUUGGCAUUACAAAUAUUCUCCUGGCUUGCAUCCAUUUGAGUUCGGUACAACUGGUGAAACAAUGUCAUGGCUACAUGCUCAGAGCAUCCCUAGAAGACAUCCAUCUUGAAGGAGCACUUCUUGAUGCAUAUUCAAAGUGCGGGAACAUAACCAAUGCCUACAACCUAUUUCGAGUUAGCCCUAACAAGGACCUUGUCACAUUCACUGCCAUGAUAGGAGGCUAUGCAAUGCAUGGAAUGGCAGAAGAGGCAGUAGAGCUGUUUUCUGAAAUGCUUACACUUGACAUUAAGCCAGACCAUGUAGCUCUAACUGCUCUGCUGUCAGCUUGCAGUCAUGCUGGGCUUGUUGAUGCAGGAAUCAAGGUUUUCAAGUUCGCCAGAGAUAUUUACAGAGUUGUACCGACAGCAGAGCACUAUACAUGCAUGGUUGACCUUCUUGCCCGCGGCGGGCGUCUCCAAGACGCAUACAAUUUUGCGUUGGAUAUGCCCCCUCACAUGGCCAAUGCAAAUGUAUGGGGCUCUCUGCUAGGAGCAUGCAAAGUCCACGGAGAGGUCAGAAUCGGCCAGCUCGCAGCUGAUCACUUGUUCUCCAUGGAGGUUGGGGACAUUGGGAACUAUAUCAUCGUGUCAAAUAUCUAUGCAGCUGAUGAGAAAUGGGACGGUGUGGAGCAUGUCAGGAAAUUGAUGAAGUCCAAGGAUAUGAAGAAACCUGCAGGAUGUAGCCAGGCACUUGUUUAUAGGCAGUGA
RNAcentral lists this ribosomal RNA (2628 nucleotides) under Triticum aestivum (bread wheat). RNAcentral's name for it is "partial small subunit ribosomal RNA". The record is from RNAcentral. Lineage: Eukaryota; Viridiplantae; Streptophyta; Magnoliopsida; Poales; Poaceae.